RNAcentral lists this ribosomal RNA (997 nucleotides) under Salmonella enterica subsp. enterica serovar Kentucky. Its description in RNAcentral is "partial 23S ribosomal RNA". It matches the Rfam family "Bacterial large subunit ribosomal RNA", at positions 1925 to 2916 of the family's 2925-position model. The record is from RNAcentral. Lineage: Bacteria; Pseudomonadati; Pseudomonadota; Gammaproteobacteria; Enterobacterales; Enterobacteriaceae.
AAACGGCGGCCGUAACUAUAACGGUCCUAAGGUAGCGAAAUUCCUUGUCGGGUAAGUUCCGACCUGCACGAAUGGCGUAAUGAUGGCCAGGCUGUCUCCACCCGAGACUCAGUGAAAUUGAACUCGCUGUGAAGAUGCAGUGUACCCGCGGCAAGACGGAAAGACCCCGUGAACCUUUACUAUAGCUUGACACUGAACAUUGAGCCUUGAUGUGUAGGAUAGGUGGGAGGCUUUGAAGUGUGGACGCCAGUCUGCAUGGAGCCGACCUUGAAAUACCACCCUUUAAUGUUUGAUGUUCUAACGUGGACCCGUAAUCCGGGUUGCGGACAGUGUCUGGUGGGUAGUUUGACUGGGGCGGUCUCCUCCUAAAGAGUAACGGAGGAGCACGAAGGUUGGCUAAUCCUGGUCGGACAUCAGGAGGUUAGUGCAAUGGCAUAAGCCAGCUUGACUGCGAGCGUGACGGCGCGAGCAGGUGCGAAAGCAGGUCAUAGUGAUCCGGUGGUUCUGAAUGGAAGGGCCAUCGCUCAACGGAUAAAAGGUACUCCGGGGAUAACAGGCUGAUACCGCCCAAGAGUUCAUAUCGACGGCGGUGUUUGGCACCUCGAUGUCGGCUCAUCACAUCCUGGGGCUGAAGUAGGUCCCAAGGGUAUGGCUGUUCGCCAUUUAAAGUGGUACGCGAGCUGGGUUUAGAACGUCGUGAGACAGUUCGGUCCCUAUCUGCCGUGGGCGCUGGAGAACUGAGGGGGGCUGCUCCUAGUACGAGAGGACCGGAGUGGACGCAUCACUGGUGUUCGGGUUGUCAUGCCAAUGGCACUGCCCGGUAGCUAAAUGCGGAAGAGAUAAGUGCUGAAAGCAUCUAAGCACGAAACUUGCCCCGAGAUGAGUUCUCCCUGAGACUUAGAGUCUCCUGAAGGAACGUUGAAGACGACGACGUUGAUAGGCCGGGUGUGUAAGCGCAGCGAUGCGUUGAGCUAACCGGUACUAAUGAACCGUGAGG